UUUUGACGAAAUACAUCUAAAUUUAUUAUUAUAUUUUCUUUAAAAAAAGUGUCUAAAAUUUGAUGUUCAUAACAUUUUUUUGCAAAUUGCAGAAGUCCCCAAAAAUAAGCUUUGAUCGCAACUCACUGCUCUGAAAUGGAGCAAGCCAUAACCGAGUUAACCAAUUGCAGCAGAACUCGCAUCGCACAGCUCAUUCUCCGGUGAAAUCCACACAUUCUUCCGCUACGUCACCGUCAAGUUGAACGCCCUAUCUUUCACGUGUUUCUCCAACGCAGUGCCAGUCAUUAGGUAAUUGACAAGUGGAGUACAUCUUUUCUCUUCCCUCAUGAACUCCUAAACAGAGAAUCUUGGAGAGAGCUAUUAAAAGCUUGGGUUUCUAAUUCUAACACAUAUAUCAAAACUCUAAGGAUACUCCCAGUCAUAACACCUGAAGCUGUAGACUUUACCGAUUACCUUCACAAUCAAUGAGUGGUGGUAGGGAUGUGGGUGAGGAUACACAACAGGUGGAGGAGGAGAGUUAUAAUAGUAUGGUGGUGGAAGGACCUUGGGUGG
Molecule: long non-coding RNA, 552 nt
Organism: Lathyrus oleraceus (garden pea)
Lineage: Eukaryota; Viridiplantae; Streptophyta; Magnoliopsida; Fabales; Fabaceae
Exons: 4
Source: RefSeq, a predicted model, not a curated record